This 464-nucleotide ribosomal RNA is filed under the name uncultured bacterium. Its description in RNAcentral is "bacterial SSU rRNA". It matches the Rfam family "Bacterial small subunit ribosomal RNA", at positions 330 to 792 of the family's 1533-position model. The record is from RNAcentral.
CCCAGACUCCUACGGGAGGCAGCAGUGAGGAAUAUUGGUCAAUGGGCGCGAGCCUGAACCAGCCAAGUCGCGUGAGGGAAGACGGUCCUAUGGAUUGUAAACCUCUUUUGUCGGGGAGCAAAAGACGCCACGCGUGGCGUUCCGAGAGUACCCGAAGAAAAAGCAUCGGCUAACUCCGUGCCAGCAGCCGCGGUAAUACGGAGGAUGCGAGCGUUAUCCGGAUUUAUUGGGUUUAAAGGGUGCGCAGGCGGAGGUGCAAGUCAGUGGUCAAAUUGCGGGGCUCAACCCCGUACUGCCGUUGAAACUGGCAGUCUCGAGUUGGAGAGAAGUAUGCGGAAUGCGCGGUGUAGCGGUGAAAUGCAUAGAUAUCGCGCAGAACUCCGAUUGCGAAGGCAGCAUGCCGGCUCCACACUGACGCUGAGGCACGAAAGCGUGGGUAUCGAACAGGAUUAGAUACCCGAGUA